Long non-coding RNA from Astatotilapia calliptera (eastern happy), 1041 nucleotides. The record is from Ensembl. Lineage: Eukaryota; Metazoa; Chordata; Actinopteri; Cichliformes; Cichlidae.
AUAACGCGUGCAGAGUGGAUUUGAACUUCCAGCCAGACCAGUGAAGUGGGUGAGUACAGUGGUCGGAAAAAUAAGCACGCUCACACUCCGCGGAUCAUUUGGAGUCUCCGGCAGUUUCAUUUGGAAAAGUUUUAAGAAAUCAACCCGAAACGAGCCAGCUGGACUUUGGAUACACUUCCAAGAUACUGUUGAGAUGAUUAAACACAUCCUUAUACUCCUGCUCUGUCUUGUGUGUCUGUGUUCACCCCGUCCUCAGCCAGGUAAGUUGAGUCUAGCAGGAUAUGAUGAUUUUGUAGCUGAAUCCAAACUUUGUAACCCGCCCUGGUGCUUUCUCUCUGACGUAGCUGUAAUUACGUGCCAGAUUUGCAGAUCCAAGACUGACAAAGUGGAAAAUUAUUAUACUCUCAACACAACACAAAUUCACUCUGCAUACACACGUAACCAGCAUUCCCUGGUUAAGUGUGUAUGCAGUCACACAUACACACACACACACACACACACUCUUUCACUUGUUUUUUUUUUUUCCAUUUUCUUCUUGCAGCUGAACGCUCCCACACUUUCUCAGAGCAGGUAUUAGUGCAAUACUUCUGCAGAUUCCACGGUUGUUUAUGCAGGUUAAAGAUAUAUUUCCAUAUAGAAUUUCAAUUCUCCAAAUGGAUUUAUAGUUGAACUCCACAGAAACUGGUUUCCUGCUUUGAACCAAACCCUGCUCAGGUGUAGCUGGUCACUACUCUUGCUUUGAGAUUGAUCUGCAGCUAUGUGUAUAUUGAGAUCAAUACAGCCAUUAGGCCAUGGGCAUAGACUUCUGGGUAUGACACAUGGGCCUGAGGGGUCUGGUACUUAGCUAUUGGCAGCAGAUCCUACUUUUCCUGAUUCUAUUUUGGGUCCUGAGAGCUAAGGAGUGGGUCGCUGUGGAUCAGUGUUUCAUUGGAUGGGAAGUGACGUUGAUUCACUGCAUUGGGCCUCUGCCUUGUAUUUUUGGAGCCAGACAUGAUCAUAUUUAGACAGGGUGGAGUACUAAGUUAUCAGCUAAUGUCAGCA